AUUGAACGCUGGCGGCAGGCCUAACACAUGCACGUCGAACGAGUGGCGGACGGGUGUGUAAUGUCUGGAAAACUGUCUGAUGGAGGGGGAUAUCUACUGGAAACGGUAGCUUAUACCGCAUACCAUCAGAUGUGCCCAUAUGGGAUUCGCUAGUUGGUGGGGUAACGGCGCACCAAGGCGACGAUCCCUAGCUGGUCUGAGAGGAUGACCAGCCACACUGGAACUGAGACACGGUCCAGACGCCUACGUGAGGCAGCAGUGGGGAAUAUUGCACAAUGGGCGCAAGCCUGAUGCAGCCAUGCCACGUGUAUGAAGAAGGCCUUCGGGUUGUAAAGUACUUUCAGCGGGGAGGCGUUACCCGCAGAAGAAGCACCGGCUAACUCCGUGCCAGCAGCCGCGGUAAUUC
This 406-nucleotide ribosomal RNA is filed under the name uncultured bacterium. Its description in RNAcentral is "partial 16S ribosomal RNA". It matches the Rfam family "Bacterial small subunit ribosomal RNA", at positions 30 to 526 of the family's 1533-position model. The record is from RNAcentral.